GAAGUCGGAGCAUAAAUGAUCUAUUUAUUGUCAUCCUUUGUGUUGAGUUCGGGAUCGCGAGAUGGUUUACACCUACCAACCCUUCCCCUCGGAGUAUGCGUUUAGCAGUUUGUUUCGAUUACUAAUAAAAACUUCUGCAACAAGUAUGUGAGUUCUUUAUGACUAAUGUUGAGUCCAUGGUAUAGAUGCACUUUCACCUUCCAGCAUUGCUAGCCUCUCUAGCGCCGUGCAAUUCUCGUCGGUGCACAAACCCACCAAAUUCCUUCCUCAAAACAUCCACCAUACCUACCUAUUAUGGCAUUUUCAUACCAAUUCCGAGAUAUAUUGCCAUGCAACUACCACUGUUCCAUCUAAUGACUUGUGUCAUCACUCUCAUAUUGCCAUUGCAUGAUCAUACUAGAUCGUUGCACAUCCCGGUACACUGCCGGAGGCAUUUCCUAUGGAGUCAUCAUCAUUGUGAUCUUUGAGCUUUGAGUAACUAAAAAGUGUGAU
RNAcentral lists this long non-coding RNA (492 nucleotides) under Hordeum vulgare. Its description in RNAcentral is "long non-coding RNA (HVUL_LNC011758)". The record is from RNAcentral. Lineage: Eukaryota; Viridiplantae; Streptophyta; Magnoliopsida; Poales; Poaceae.